AGGACGAACGCUGGCGGCGUGCUUAACACAUGCAAGUCGAGCGGAAAGGCCCUUCGGGGUACUCGAGCGGCGAACGGGUGAGUAACACGUGAGCAACCUGCCCUUAGCUUCGGGAUAGCUCCGGGAAACCGGAAUUAAAUACCGAAUAUGACUUUGGCUGACAUCAGCAGAAGUGGAAAGUUUUUCGGCUAGGGAUGGACUCGCGGCCUAUCAGCUAGUUGGUGAGGUAACGGCCCACCAAGGCGACGACGGGUA
Molecule: ribosomal RNA, 255 nt
Filed under: uncultured bacterium
Lineage: Bacteria
Description: partial small subunit ribosomal RNA
Rfam family: Bacterial small subunit ribosomal RNA
Source: RNAcentral